RNAcentral lists this ribosomal RNA (303 nucleotides) under uncultured bacterium. Its description in RNAcentral is "partial 16S ribosomal RNA". It matches the Rfam family "Bacterial small subunit ribosomal RNA", at positions 507 to 809 of the family's 1533-position model. The record is from RNAcentral.
AGCAGUAGCCGCGGUAAUACGUAGGUGGCAAGCGUUGUCCGGAAUUAUUGGGCGUAAAGGGCUCGCAGGCGGUUUCUUAAGUCUGAUGUGAAAGCCCCCGGCUCAACCGGGGAGGGUCAUUGGAAACUGGGAAACUUGAGUGCAGAAGAGGAGAGUGGAAUUCCACGUGUAGCGGUGAAAUGCGUAGAGAUGUGGAGGAACACCAGUGGCGAAGGCGACUCUCUGGUCUGUAACUGACGCUGAGGAGCGAAAGCGUGGGGAGCGAACAGGAUUAGAUACCCGGGUAGUCCCUGUCUCUUAUAA